ACUUGUCUGUGUUUCUGAAUUCUCAGAAGCAGCAGAGUCAAAUAGGUGAGAUCUGUUUUCCCCUAAAGAUGAGGAUUUCCUGCUGUAUCACAUAUGGCUAACCUCAGUGAAGUUUUAGCUAAUGAAGCAAUGAUAGUGUCAAACGCAUUUCACGUCAUUCUUUGAGAGGAAUAUAAUGGAGCUGAUUGAGGGCUCUGCAGACAUUAAAGGCCAUUCAUGUGUUAGCAAUAUGGUUUCUCUGUGGUGCUGUGCCUUCAGGCUUACAGUUAUGAAAGUGUUUGUAACAUUUUCAAGGGUUACAGCAUGAAAAAAACUGAGCAAUUGCAUUUCCCAGAGUCUGUCAACUACUUAUCUGAAAACUAAAAACCAGGUUCUCACAUCAGGUUGACUUAUUUAUUACAUAGCGUAUUACAUGCCCAUAUAAUGUACAGGGCACACAAUCAAUUGUUUUUCUGCUAAAAAUGAGAUUCAGUAACAACAUACACUUUAUUUUUCACACUCCAGCAAGUGUGCACCAGCAUGCAAUUUUAUGACUUUGAAAGAGAAAUGAAAGCUGGAUAACAUCUUUAACUUUAUUUCAGUUUUAUGAAUGUCCAGAUGUGCUUCUCCUCAGUGGAUCCUGUCUGUUCCAAUACCUAACUGCUAACAGACAUGGCAAAGCAAGGAGAAACCAUUGAGAUAUCUUGUGUUCCCUGUAAAAAAGUGUAUUAAAUAACAUACUCCUAAUUCACACACUUUAGAGACCACCCAGAUAUUUCCAGAGCUGCCAUAUACCUACAACUGUUAUUUUUGCAAUGUAUAUUCAAAUGCAUUAAGACUGAGUAAAACUAGACUGUAAUUGUUGAAGGCCACACACCAGAUUACAUUGAAUUCUGCUGUUUAGUAAUUUAAAGAGAUUCCAGCCUGAGAAAACAUUAUUUUUUUUUCAAUGUUUUGGCCAUGAUUAGUGCCUCAGUGAGGUUCUACUAUGAUUUAAUUUACUGUAAGCAGUGUCAUUUUAUCAGUAGCAUGCCACAUGUAUUGCCUGCGCAUUUCCUUAAAGCCUAAUUAACCUUCAAUAUUGCAUGGGUUAGUUAGUGUUGAAGGCUCGAGUGCUGGGGUUGUUUUAGCUUGUGUUUCCUUUUAACACCGACCUUUUCAAAUUCCCUCCUAGAUAAUGGGAUACGACUUUUAAAUGGAAGAUAUAGCUUUCAAAAUGAUUUAAGAUAAUAAGAGAUAAAACAACAGAGGAGCUGAAAAAACAGAUAGUGUUUCGGAGUUAAAAGGAAAACAACUAUCAGUGCCCCUAGCAAUUGUAUAAUUUGGAGACAUUUGAAAAAGACAGGUCUUUAGAGGAGGAAAAAAUGCCCUAAACUGAACACCACUGCUUUGGGGUUGUGAAUUUCAGCUAGUGUGAAACAUGCGGGGUACAGAUAAACUGCAUCUGAUGUAAAGCUUCACUGCAUAGAGUUAAACCAGCAGAAAAUUUGAGUAGGAGGAAUGAGCUCAGGCUGGACCAAAACUCCACUUUGUGUGGCCGUGGCAGCUUUGGUCCCAUGUUACCAACCUGAAUAGGAGGAAUAGGCUUAUACUGGGGGAAGAACAGUUCUGAUUGCAAAGGAAAGGUAGGGUGUGCAGUGCUCUAAUUUGUUGUGCUCUGGCUACAUCAGCUGCUGGAUUCAAACAGCUCAGAAAGACCCACAAGUCCCACAGUGCUGUCUGAGCUCUGCCCUGGGCUGCUGCUCCUUCAAAAAUGUCUGGAGGACCCAGUCCAAGGUGAUGAUGGAUGUUUACCAGCUGUGAGAGUCAUCACGGGAAACUGCUGCUGCUCUGAAGAGGGAAAAUUCAUUAAAGUUGCCCUUGUGAAGUUGAACAGAGUUUGCUGCUUUGUCUGGAUAUAUUGAAACACAAAUAAUCCACAUUUCAGCUCCAUUUUAGGAGGUACCCAGAGUCUUUCUUGACAUUCUCCAUUUUGUGCAACCACCUGGAUCAGGUGGAAGUGAGGUUGCCCUGUGCAUAUUUCUGUUACAUUGGCAGAAGUGCCCCAGGAUUUCUUUGGGAAAGGGAUCCUCUCAAAUCCCAUGUGCGCUGUGCUCGGGAGGGAAGGGGUUUGCAGAUGGUGCCUCCAAUGGGAGCAGGCAGGAAGGACUUGGCAAUUCCUCACUACCUCCUUGCAAUGGCAUUGAUCUGACCAGGAAAAUGAACAGAAGUCCCCACAUCCUCACCACCAUGUUUUUAACCAAAAGGUAAGUCUGCUGAUUCCUCUGACAGACACAGGCCUCCCCAGCCUGCAAGCCCAGUUCUUGCAAUAGAUGCAGCCAGAUGUAUAUGCAGGGAAGCUCUUUGUGCAUCAAUGACCAAGGAGAAAAGGUGUUUUUACUGGAUCAGCCAAAGAAAAGUUUUUCUCCUCCUUCCCUAACGCAGCUAUGGCACUCUUUUCUCUUGUGCCUGAAAUCCCUGUGUCUUAUCACAAGUGAAAAGGGAGCCCCUUGUGAAACAUGUAUGAACUUUGCAAAUGUUAUCUUAAGCAUUUUAUUCCAGCAUGCAUGUCAUCAAAUGCAAGGGCCCUUAUAAAACACCCGAGGGAGCAGAAGGCCAAAGGUGGAGCUGAGUCUUGGCUUGAGAUAUUAGACACUUAUUGGUUGUAAUUCUCACUUCACAGCACAGAGAUGAAAUGCUAAGCAAAAAAAAAAAAUCUUAUUUCUUUAAUAAGGGAAUGUCUAGACUCCAUUCUUUCUAGUCCUGAAUCUGAUAAUAUAACAUCAGCAUCUUGUUCUUGGCAUUGAAGUCCUCUGCUGAAGCAAUGCAUUUAUAGCUCCGUACCCACUUAAAAACCAGUGGGCCAAACAAGUUACUGAAUAAGCCCAAGUGCUGUGGUUUUACCUGGGGAUCCUUUCAGUUAAAUGAGAAUGCACCAGGAUUUGUGGUUCCCCCAGGGAGCAAGAUGAGAGGAAAAUGCCUGUGCAGACGGGGAGGAAGAGCUGGGAGUCUUGUGAAGAUGGAAAACACGAGCUAGAAUCAUUCUCCUUCCCUCUUGAGCCACAUUUUCAUUUCAAACACAGCACUGUCCUUUCUCA
This is a long non-coding RNA of Pezoporus flaviventris, 3056 nucleotides long. RefSeq lists it as uncharacterized. NCBI's taxonomy places the organism in Eukaryota, Metazoa, Chordata, Aves, Psittaciformes, Psittacidae. The record is from RefSeq and is a predicted model, not a curated record. The transcript is spliced from 4 exons.